Molecule: long non-coding RNA, 340 nt
Organism: Pygocentrus nattereri (red-bellied piranha)
Lineage: Eukaryota; Metazoa; Chordata; Actinopteri; Characiformes; Serrasalmidae
Exons: 2
Source: RefSeq, a predicted model, not a curated record
UGAGGAAGUUGCAGUGUGAACUGCAGAGCUUUGCGCCGGAUAAACACGGUGUCUGGAAUUCUUUUCAACUAAGGCUCUGCUAGGCCUGAGGCUGGUAACAACUGGGGGCUUCAUCAGAGAAUUUCGAGAUGGCUGUCUGAGAGGUUCUGUGUCUCUGCUAAAGGGCUGGGCAUGGAGUCAGCAUCAUCCACAGAACAGAGGAGAUGAUGUUAACAGAACCACAGCAGGUGCUCUCUAUGAAAUCCACAAGGUGAAGACAAUCCAGAACUUUCCAAACUUUUGAAUCUCAGCUGUACUGUUAUCUUUGAGUACAUUAAAAGUGACAGCCUACAUUGCAAAA